GACGAACGCUGGCGGCGUGCUUAACACAUGCAAGUCGAACGGAAAGGCCCUGCUUGCAGGGUACUCGAGUGGCGAACGGGUGAGUAACACGUGGGUGAUCUGCCCUGCACUUCGGGAUAAGCCUGGGAAACUGGGUCUAAUACCGGAUAUGACCUUCCAUGUAGUGUGGGGGGUGGAAAGAUUUAUCGGUGUGGGAUGAGCCCGCGGCCUAUCAGCUUGUUGGUGGGGUAAUGGCCUACCAAGGCGUCGACGGGUAGCCGGCCUGAGAGGGUGGACGGCCACAUUGGGACUGAGAUACGGCCCAGACUCCUACGGGAGGCAGCAGUGGGGAAUAUUGCACAAUGGGCGGAAGCCUUAUGCAGCGACGCCGCGUGGGGGAUGACGGCCUUCGGGUUGUAAACCCCUUUCGACAGGGACGAAGCUUCGGUGACGGUACCUGUAUAAGAAGCACCGGCUAACUACGUG
Molecule: ribosomal RNA, 465 nt
Filed under: uncultured bacterium
Lineage: Bacteria
Description: partial 16S ribosomal RNA
Rfam family: Bacterial small subunit ribosomal RNA
Source: RNAcentral